This is a long non-coding RNA of Eupeodes corollae, 602 nucleotides long. RefSeq lists it as uncharacterized. The record is from RefSeq and is a predicted model, not a curated record. NCBI's taxonomy places the organism in Eukaryota, Metazoa, Arthropoda, Insecta, Diptera, Syrphidae. The transcript is spliced from 2 exons.
UUAAAAAUUGUAAAUUCAUUGAAUUAUUUCUCCCUUUGUAUUUUUUUUACAAAUUCUCAAUCUAAGAAAAUAAAAAUUAAAUUUUUGAAUACAUUUUUUACUAAUUACCAUUAUUCAAAUCUAAUUUUAUAGGUUUUUAUUUUUUGUUUCGAAACCGCUUGCUGAAUUAAUUUUUAGCCUUAAGUAAAAUAAAAAAUCAAUAAAACAAUGAAUUUUAAACAGACAAAAUCCUGAAUGCAAAAAUGAACUCACAAAACUAUAUAUGUACGUUUUAAAACAGGUCUAUUAGGAAGCAACUUACAAAUUAAGACAACGUUGUUGGUGCAGCACUGUUAGCUGCUGGAUUCUCCUUUUCCUCUGUUUGAUUUUAUAACCAUUUCAUUAUUGGAAUAAUGAUGAUCUUUGUGUAUCUUCUAUGCGGCUCUCAUCUAUGAAGUGCAAUGCAUGAACUCACAGAAUUAAAACCCAAGUGACAGUCCCUGGUAAGAUCACCGAACUUUCUUUCAAGAAAUUGAACAGUAAAACCGAUUCGAUCCCACAAUGCACUCUGAACACUUGUUUACACAGGAAACAAAAAUAUAUUUAUAAUUAUCUCGUUUUUU